This 376-nucleotide ribosomal RNA is filed under the name uncultured bacterium. RNAcentral's name for it is "bacterial SSU rRNA". It matches the Rfam family "Bacterial small subunit ribosomal RNA", at positions 521 to 896 of the family's 1533-position model. The record is from RNAcentral.
UAAUACAGAGGGUGCAAGCGUUAAUCGGAUUUACUGGGCGUAAAGCGUGCGUAGGCGGCUCGCUAAGUCGGUUGUGAAAUCCCUGGGCUUAACCUGGGAACUGCAGUCGAUACUGGCGGACUAGAGUACGGUAGAGGGUGGCGGAACUCCGGGUGUAGCGGUGAAAUGCGUAGAUAUCCGGAAGAACACCGAUGGCGAAGGCAACCACCUGGGCCUGUACUGACGCUGAGGUACGAAAGCGUGGGGAGCAAACAGGAUUAGAUACCCUGGUAGUCCACGCUGUAAACGAUGAGAACUUGACGUCGGUUCGCCUAGCGAAUCGGUGUCGUAGCUAACGCGCUAAGUUCUCCGCCUGGGGAGUACGGCCGCAAGGUUG